RNAcentral lists this ribosomal RNA (406 nucleotides) under uncultured bacterium. RNAcentral describes it as "partial 16S ribosomal RNA". It matches the Rfam family "Bacterial small subunit ribosomal RNA", at positions 30 to 526 of the family's 1533-position model. The record is from RNAcentral.
AUUGAACGCUGGCGGCAGGCCUAACACAUGCAAGUCGAACGAGUGGCGGACGGGUGAGUAAUAUAUGGGGAUCUGCCUGAUGGAGGGGGAUAACUACUGGAAACGGUGGCUAAUACCGCAUACUAUCGGAUGUACCCAUAUGGGAUUAGCUAGUAGGUGGGGUAAAGGCUCACCUAGGCGACGAUCUCUAGCUGGUCUGCGAGGAUGAUCAGCCACAUUGGAACUGAGAGACGGCCCAGACUCCGACGGGAGGCAGCAGUGGGGAAUAUUGCACAAUGGGCGCAAGCCGGAUGCAGCCAUGCCGCGGGUAUGAAGAAGGCCUUAGGGUUGUAAAGUACUUUCAGCGGGGAGGCGGUACCCGCAGAAGAAGCACCGGCUAACUCCGUGCCAGCAGCCGCGGUAAUAC